UUUCCGUAGGUGAACCUGCGGAAGGAUCAUUACAGUAGUCGCCCGGGUUGCCGCAAGGCCUCCCGGGUAACCUACCACCCUUUGUUUAUUACACUUUGUUGCUUUGGCAGGCCUGCCCUCGGGCUGCUGGCUCCGGCCGGCGAGCGCUUGCCAGAGGACCUAAACCCUGUUUGUCUAUACUGUCUGAGUACUAUAUAAUAGUUAAAACUUUCAACAACGGAUCUCUUGGUUCUG
RNAcentral lists this unclassified non-coding RNA (234 nucleotides) under plant metagenome. RNAcentral's name for it is "partial contains small subunit ribosomal RNA, internal transcribed spacer 1, and 5.8S ribosomal RNA". The record is from RNAcentral.